GCGGGUGCACCGCCGACCG
This 19-nucleotide small nuclear RNA is filed under the name Arabidopsis thaliana (thale cress). Its description in RNAcentral is "snRNA_08058". Lineage: Eukaryota; Viridiplantae; Streptophyta; Magnoliopsida; Brassicales; Brassicaceae. The record is from RNAcentral.